ACAUCAUCAGAACAUAUAUAUACUAAAAUUGUAAGCAUACAGAGAAAACUAGCAUGGCCCCUGUGCAUGGACAACACACAUACUCAUUCACUAAGCAUUCCAUUA
Molecule: small nuclear RNA, 105 nt
Organism: Sciurus vulgaris (Eurasian red squirrel)
Lineage: Eukaryota; Metazoa; Chordata; Mammalia; Rodentia; Sciuridae
Source: Ensembl